UGGGGAAUAUUGGACAAUGGGGGGAACCCUGAUCCAGCCAUGCCGCGUGUGUGAAGAAGGCCUUAUGGUUGUAAAGCACUUUAAGCGAGGAGGAGGCUCUCUUGGUUAAUACCCAAGAAGAGUGGACGUUACUCGCAGAAUAAGCACCGGCUAACUCUGUGCCAGCAGCCGCGGUAAUACAGAGGGUGCGAGCGUUAAUCGGAUUUACUGGGCGCAAAGCGUGCGUAGGCGGCUUUUUAAGUCGGAUGUGAAAUCCCCGAGCUUAACUUGGGAAUUGCAUUCGAUACUGGGAAGCUAGAGUAUGGGAGAGGAUGGUAGAAUUCCAGGUGUAGCGGUGAAAUGCGUAGAGAUCUGGAGGAAUACCGAUGGCGAAGGCAGCCAUCUGGCCUAAUACUGACGCUGAGGUACGAAAGCAUGGGGAGCAAACAGG
This 430-nucleotide ribosomal RNA is filed under the name bacterium. RNAcentral describes it as "partial 16S ribosomal RNA". It matches the Rfam family "Bacterial small subunit ribosomal RNA", at positions 355 to 776 of the family's 1533-position model. The record is from RNAcentral.